GCUCAGGACGAACGCGGGCGGCGUGCCUAAUACAUGCAAGUCGAGCGAAUUUCAAGGGGCUUGCCCCUUGAGGUUAGCGGCGGACGGGUGAGUAACACGUGGGCAACCUGCCUGUAAGACUGGGAUAACACCGGGAAACCGGUGCUAAUACCGGAUAAUUCUUUCCCUCUCAUGAGGGGAAGCUGAAAGUCGGUUUCGGCUGACACUUACAGAUGGGCCCGCGGCGCAUUAGCUAGUUGGUGAGGUAACGGCUCACCAAGGCGACGAUGCGUAGCCGACCUGAGAGGGUGAUCGGCCACACUGGGACUGAGACACGGCCCAGACUCCUACGGGAGGCAGCAGUAGGGAAUCUUCCGCAAUGGACGAAAGUCUGACGGAGCAACGCCGCGUGAGUGAUGAAGGCCUUCGGGUCGUAAAACUCUGUUGUUAGGGAAGAACAAGUACCGGAGUAACUGCCGGUACCUUGACGGUACCUAACCAGAAAGCCACGGCUAACUACGUGCCAGCAGCCGCGGUAAUACGUAGGUGGCAAGCGUUGUCCGGAAUUAUUGGGCGUAAAGCGCGCGCAGGCGGUCCUUUAAGUCUGAUGUGAAAGCCCACGGCUCAACCGUGGAGGGUCAUUGGAAACUGGGGGACUUGAGUGCAGAAGAGGAAAGCGGAAUUCCACGUGUAGCGGUGAAAUGCGUAGAGAUGUGGAGGAACACCAGUGGCGAAGGCGGCUUUCUGGUCUGUAACUGACGCUGAGGCGCGAAAGCGUGGGGAGCAAACAGGAUUAGAUACCCUGGUAGUCCACGCCGUAAACGAUGAGUGCUAAGUGUUAGAGGGUUUCCGCCCUUUAGUGCUGCAGCUAACGCAUUAAGCACUCCGCCUGGGGAGUACGGCCGCAAGGCUGAAACUCAAU
Molecule: ribosomal RNA, 901 nt
Filed under: uncultured bacterium
Lineage: Bacteria
Description: bacterial SSU rRNA
Rfam family: Bacterial small subunit ribosomal RNA
Source: RNAcentral